RNAcentral lists this ribosomal RNA (253 nucleotides) under uncultured bacterium. Its description in RNAcentral is "partial 16S ribosomal RNA". It matches the Rfam family "Bacterial small subunit ribosomal RNA", at positions 524 to 776 of the family's 1533-position model. The record is from RNAcentral.
UACGUAGGCAGCAAGCGUUGUUCGGAGUUACUGGGCGUAAAGGGUGUGUAGGCGGUUGCUUAAGUUUGGUGUGAAAUCUCCUGGCUCAACUGGGAGGGUGCGCCGGAAACUGGAGUGCUUGAGCGUGGGAGAGGAAAGCGGAAUUCCUGGUGUAGCGGUGAAAUGCGUAGAUAUCAGGAGGAACACCUGUGGUGUAGACGGCUUUCUGGACCAUAGCUGACGCUGAGACACGAAAGCGUGGGUAGCAAACAGG